AUUUUAUUUAAUCUCAGCCGUUUAGGUUUUUAACAUUCUGUCUGAAGAAAUGAAUAGAACUCAUAAAACACUUUUGCAUACAGAAGCAGGAUGGAUGUCCUGGGGAGAAGCGCCUGUAGGAUAGUUUGGAUUGUGAGCUGACUAGCCACUUUUUGUCAUGGAACAUCAUUUUUGCUUGAAAAAGAGUGAAUGAUAUACUAACCAUGGUAAUUCUUUAUGAUAAAAUGAGCCAGAUAAAAUUUGAGCUUUCAAGUGAAAAUCAGAAUUUUAAAAAAUUUGUAUAUACUCUGAGCUUGGCAGCUUUGUGAUAACUACAGACUUUUCUGAUGAAAUUGGUGAUAUUACAGAAUAUGACUUUUUAUAUUUAUAUAAUGAAAUGUGUCAACAUUUGUAAGAUCUGUAAAACUCAAUGAACUUAAACUCAGCGAACUAAAUAUUAUUUAAAUGACCAGUGCAUGAUAUUGCAAAAUGAUGCCUAGAAAAGGUCCAUCCUAAGUGCAAGAUAGACUGAUGGACCUUUUUUCUGCCCUGUCCCCCCAUUCCCAGGCAACCACAGAUUUGUUUUCAGUUACUGUACAUUUAAUUUGUGUUUUGUUGGUGAUCUUCACUGAAGCUUUAUAUUAAUAGUUGGAGAAAUUAUGUAGAAGCUUCUUCUGUUAAAUUGCAAUAAUCAUCAACAUCAUUAUAAUGUAAGCUAUAUGUUGAGCUCUGCCACAGUGUUUUCUCAUUCAUUUUCUUUCCUUUCCUUCAUGGGCUUACUAUUAUCUGAAAUUACUUGAU
RNAcentral lists this long non-coding RNA (780 nucleotides) under Homo sapiens (human). RNAcentral's name for it is "HSALNT0243529". The record is from RNAcentral. Lineage: Eukaryota; Metazoa; Chordata; Mammalia; Primates; Hominidae.